UUGGGCACUCUAAGGGUGACUGCCGGCCAAAAGUCGGAGGAAGUGGGGAUGACGUCAAAUCAUCAUGCCCCUUAUGACCCUGGGCUACACACGUGCUACAAUGGGCGGUACAAAGGGUCGCGAACCCGCGAGGGGGAGCCCAAAUCCCAAAAAGCCGCUCUCAGUUCGGAUUGCAGGCUGCAACUCGCCUGCAUGAAGCCGGAAUCGCUAGUAAUCGCGGAUCAAGCAUGCCGCGGUGAAUACGUUCCCGGGCCUU
This 256-nucleotide ribosomal RNA is filed under the name uncultured Anoxybacillus sp. Its description in RNAcentral is "partial 16S ribosomal RNA". It matches the Rfam family "Bacterial small subunit ribosomal RNA", at positions 1131 to 1382 of the family's 1533-position model. Lineage: Bacteria; Bacillati; Bacillota; Bacilli; Caryophanales; Anoxybacillaceae. The record is from RNAcentral.